This 301-nucleotide ribosomal RNA is filed under the name uncultured bacterium. Its description in RNAcentral is "partial 16S ribosomal RNA". It matches the Rfam family "Bacterial small subunit ribosomal RNA", at positions 509 to 808 of the family's 1533-position model. The record is from RNAcentral.
CAGUAGCCGCGGGAACACGGAGGGAGCUAGCGUUGUUCGGAAUUACUGGGCGUAAAGCGCACGUAGGCGGUUAUUCAAGUCAGAGGUGAAAGCCCGGGGCUCAACCCCGGAACAGCCUUUGAAACUAGAUAACUAGAAUUCUGGAGAGGUCAGUGGAAUUCCGAGUGUAGAGGUGAAAUUCGUAGAUAUUCGGAAGAACACCAGUGGCGAAGGCGACUGACUGGACAGAUAUUGACGCUGAGGUGCGAAAGCGUGGGGAGCAAACAGGAUUAGAUACCCCGGUAGUCCCUGUCUCUUAACA